This 493-nucleotide ribosomal RNA is filed under the name uncultured bacterium. Its description in RNAcentral is "partial 16S ribosomal RNA". It matches the Rfam family "Bacterial small subunit ribosomal RNA", at positions 28 to 507 of the family's 1533-position model. The record is from RNAcentral.
GACGAACGCUGGCGGUGUGCUUAACACAUGCAAGUGGUGCGACGAACCAGAGCUUGCUCUGGGGCAAAGCCGCGAACGGGUGAGUAACACGUGGGUAAUCUACCCCGAUGACCGGGACAACCCGAGGAAACUCGGGCUAAUACCGGAUGUGGUGCGGAGACAUAAGUCUCUUCACUAAAGGUAGCUUCGGCUUCCGCAUUGGGAGGGGCCCGCGGCCCAUUAGCUUGUUGGUGGGGUCAAGGCCUACCAAGGCAACGAUGGGUAGCUGGUCUGAGAGGACGGUCAGCCACACGGGGACUGAGACACGGCCCAGACUCCUACGGGAGGCAGCAGUGGGGAAUCUUGCGCAAUGCGCGAAAGCGUGACGCAGCAACACCGCGUGAGGGAAGAAGGCCUUAGGGUUGUAAAGCUCUUUCAGAUGGGACGAAGGUGCUCCGGUGAAUAGCCGAGAGGAUUGACGGUACCGGCAGAAGAAGCUCCGGCUAACUACGUG